Molecule: ribosomal RNA, 156 nt
Filed under: Triticum aestivum (bread wheat)
Lineage: Eukaryota; Viridiplantae; Streptophyta; Magnoliopsida; Poales; Poaceae
Description: rRNA 5_8S_rRNA
Rfam family: 5.8S ribosomal RNA
About the family: 5.8S ribosomal RNA (5.8S rRNA) is a component of the large subunit of the eukaryotic ribosome.
Source: RNAcentral
GACUCUCGGCAACGGAUAUCUCGGCUCUCGCAUCGAUGAAGAACGUAGCGAAAUGCGAUACCUGGUGUGAAUUGCAGAAUCCCGUGAACCAUCAAGUCUUUGAACGCAAGUUGCGCUCGAGGCCACUCAGCCGAGGGCACGCCUUCCUGGGCAUCA